Molecule: ribosomal RNA, 481 nt
Filed under: uncultured bacterium
Lineage: Bacteria
Description: partial 16S ribosomal RNA
Rfam family: Bacterial small subunit ribosomal RNA
Source: RNAcentral
AUGAACGCUGGCGGCGUGCCUAAUACAUGCAAGUCGAACGCUUCACUUCGGUGAAGAGUGGCGAACGGGUGUGUAAUACAUAAGUAACCUGGCAUCUACAGGGGGAUAACUGAUGGAAACGUCAGCUAAGACCGCAUAGGUGUAGAGAUCGCAUGAACUCUAUAUGAAAAGUGCUACGGGACUGGUAGAUGAUGGACUUAUGGCGCAUUAGCUUGUUGGUAGGGUAACGGCCUACCAAGGCGACGAUGCGUAGCCGACCUGAGAGGGUGACCGGCCACACUGGGACUGAGACACGGCCCAGACUCCUACGGGAGGCAGCAGUAGGGAAUUUUCGGCAAUGGGGGAAACCCUGACCGAGCAACGCCGCGUGAAGGAAGAAGUAAUUCGUUAUGUAAACUUCUGUCAUAGAGGAAGAACGGUGGAUAUAGGGAAUGAUAUCCAAGUGACGGUACUCUAUAAGAAAGCCACGGCUAACUACGUG